RNAcentral lists this long non-coding RNA (1426 nucleotides) under Coturnix japonica (Japanese quail). RNAcentral's name for it is "lncRNA (ENSCJPG00005002844.1)". The record is from RNAcentral. Lineage: Eukaryota; Metazoa; Chordata; Aves; Galliformes; Phasianidae.
GGCUUUAUAUAGGGGAGGGGGCGUGGCCAAAAGGAAGUGGGCGGGGCUUAAGAGGAAAUUGGGGGCGUGGCCUCGGGGGGAACCGCGAAACCCCGCUGGGUUUUGGCCACGCCCCCUUUUCCGGUUGCGGUUAAUGGGGUGGGCGGGGCUUAAAGGGGGCGGGGCUUAAAUGAAGGAGGCGUGGCUUAGAGAGAAGGGGCGUGGCUUCGGUGUUCCCCUUUGCUCUGACCACGCCCCCUUCUUUCCGUAUAUGGCAAUAGGGGCGUGGCCUCGGUGUCCCGCCCUGUUCUGACCACGCCCCCUUCUUUCCGUAUAUGGCAAUGUGGGCGGGGCUUGAAUGGAUGGAGGCGUGGUUUAAUCGUAGCCCCGCCCCCUCGCCGACCCCACUCACCCCACACCCUUUAUUCGCCCUAUAGGACACAGGGGACGUUAUCAAGUUCUGGUGGCACCUUUAUUGGUUCCAUCUGCUCCUGCCCUGACCCCCCCCACCCCCCCAUGGUGGCCCUGGGGGUCCCCAAGGUGGACAUGGGGGUCCCAUUGGUGACUAUGGGGGUCCCAUUGGGGGUCCCAUUGGUGGUACUGUCCCCAUUGGUGACUAUGGGGGUCCCACUGGGGGUCCUGGGGGUCCCAUUAAUGGCUAUGGGGGUCCCAUUGGUGACUAUGGGGGUCCUGGGGGUCCCAUUGGUGACUAUGGGGGUCCCAUUGGUGGUCCUGUCCCCAUUGGUGGUCCUGGGGGUCCUGGGGGUCCCAUUGGUGGCUAUGGGGGUCCCCAAGGUGGCCAUGGGGGUCCCAUUGGUGACUAUGGGGGUCCCAUUGGUGGCCAUGGGGGUCCCAUUAAUGACUAUGAUGGUCCCAUUGGUGGAGAUGGGGGUCCCAUUGGUGGUCCUGGGGGUCCUAUUGGUGGCCCUGGGGGUCCCCAAGGUGGCCAUGGGGGUCCCAUUGGUGGCCAUGGGGGUCCCAUUGGUGACUAUGGGGGUCCCAUUGGUGGUCCUGUCCCCAUUGGUGGCCCUGGGGGUCCCCAAGGUGGCCCUGGGGGUCCCACUGGUGACUAUGGGGGUCCCAUUGGUGACUAUGGGGGUCCCUUUGGUGGUCCUGUCCCCAUUGGUGACUAUGGGGGUCCCAUUGGUGGUCCCAUUCCCAAGGUGGCCAUGGGGAUCCUAUUGGUUGUCCUGGGGGUCCCCAUUUAGUGGCUCUGGGGGUCCCAUAGGUGGUCCCAUCCCAUUAGUGGCCCUGGGGGGUUUCAUUGGUGGCACAGGGGGUCCUCAAGGUGGUCCUGUCCCCAUUGGGGUCCCAUUUAGUGGCAUUGGGGACCCUUUGGCGUCCCUAUGGUGUCCCUAUAGUGGCCAUAGGGUCCCAUUAGUGACCCUGGGGUCCCUAUGGUGUCCCUAUGGUGUCCCUAUGGCGUCCCUAUAGUGGCCAUAGGGUC